RNAcentral lists this long non-coding RNA (244 nucleotides) under Elaeis guineensis (African oil palm). RNAcentral describes it as "long non-coding RNA (EGUI_LNC016966)". Lineage: Eukaryota; Viridiplantae; Streptophyta; Magnoliopsida; Arecales; Arecaceae. The record is from RNAcentral.
AGGAAUGGUUAUGAACUUUGAUCAGGACUGUUUCUUCUAUUUGAAGAGGAUUUUGGCCCUAUAAAGAGGGCUGACGACUGUGGAGAUGUGCGCAUCUUAGUGCAUCUCAGUGAGGAUCUGAGAGAGAUCGUGAGCGGCUUAGAGCCUCCAGGGUAUCAACAACAAUGGUAGAGAAUGGUUGAGGAGUGGCUUGAUAUGAGUAGCAGGCAAACCAGCUGAGAGUAUCUCAAAACAGUUGUGGGAG